GUGAAUCAUCAAAUCUUUGAACGCAAAUUGCACUUUCUGGUAUUCUGGAAAGUAUGCCUGUUUGAGGGUCAUUUAAAUCAUCAUGGGUGUUGUUGCUGUUUUUGGUGGUGACGCGUCGGAAUUGAGUUGUGUUACCUUAUGUUAAGUGACUUAAACUGUUGCAUGAUUUUCGAAGGUAUUUAAAUUUCUUACGUAGGAUUGAGGUAUCGCAUACUUUUUUAGGUUCGGUCAUUCUAAUGUUUCGUAGUUAUAAUUUUUGAUUAAAUGAC
Molecule: unclassified non-coding RNA, 269 nt
Filed under: Glomus sp.
Lineage: Eukaryota; Fungi; Glomeromycota; Glomeromycetes; Glomerales; Glomeraceae
Description: partial contains 5.8S ribosomal RNA and internal transcribed spacer 2
Rfam family: 5.8S ribosomal RNA (bases 1-71)
Source: RNAcentral